This is a long non-coding RNA of Mauremys reevesii (Reeves's turtle), 426 nucleotides long. RefSeq lists it as uncharacterized. The transcript has 3 exons. The record is from RefSeq and is a predicted model, not a curated record. NCBI's taxonomy places the organism in Eukaryota, Metazoa, Chordata, Testudines, Geoemydidae.
CUCUGAGGAUGAAUCAGGAUGAAGCCUGUUGUCCAUAGGACCUUUAACUCAUUUGCUGCAGAAGUUGGAAGGUGCAUUGUGAAUGAGGCAGGUGACUGCAGAAUGAGAAAGGAUGGUCUCAUGGACUGUGUGCUUUAAAAACGACAAAGGUGUACCACUGUGAAAUUCUUUAAAAAUGUGCCUGUGAAGAGUGCCAGAUUGACAGCUCUGCUCCUAGAGCAGAGUCAGCACCCACAGCUGCAGUACAAACUUCCCUCAGCCAACAUGCUCCUGGGACCACCUGUUGUGAUAAGAUGACAAUUCAGUUUCAGUGUCCAUUAAAACCCUGAUUUUUAUGCUGAGUUUUCUGACAAGGGUGACGAUUUUCAUCAAAAAAUGGCAAUGUUUUGGUGUUGUGGAUAUCUGUCCACCUUUCUCACAGCACAA